GGCUGAAUUGAAGCUCCAAUCAGUGAAGCUUUUGCUGUCAGAGGUCCUCCAGGUGUCUUAAAUCAGCUGUUGCUGACGCUGAGAGGAAGACAAAUUUGCCCAGCCGUGAGAGUAAUGACCUGAGCCGCGUGUGAGGAGGUCUGAGGAAAGCAAACAAAAGAGACUCGAUUAGCACAAAUGCCUCUUCAUACUCUGAAGGAAGAGCAGCUUCAUUAUGGUGUGUGUUUUCCUCUCAGACACGUCCUGAGACCAGAGCGAGACGAAUCAGGUCACCUGUGCUUCAAAUCGCUCCUCAGUGCAGGAAAAGCAGUGUGUCCCAGCAGUCAUGUGAUAUCCCACCAUGCACCUCAGAAAUGGCCCGCUAAAGGUCGAGCUGGCCCCUUGUGAUUUCAGCACUCAAUCGUUCACAGUGGAACUGCAUAAACUACCGCAGCCAUAAAGAACGAUUUCAUGCAGCCGAGUUAAGACAACCUCUGCUGUGAUGCUGUGUCCGGCCAGCUGAGCGGACAGUCAUUGGUGCAUUUGGCAUUAGCAAGUAAUAUUAGGUAAAUGCUGUUUUUUAAUGUGUUUAUGAAAGUUAGAGUUUAGGAUAUAUGCUGUGCAUUUGUCACUGGCCAGCUGGACCCCUGAAACAUUGGCUGUUGUGCUCCUCAGGGGCCCGGAGAAGCCCCGAGCGUGGCCCGUGGCGGAUUCAGCUGGCGUCCGUACGGAGGGGACUAGAGCCUAUCGUCAGGAACAGACAAGUGGGGCAUUUCCCGCAGUCCCGAGGACGGACAUGUGCCGAGAAAAACCCUUGAAAAUGAAGAUGGAUGCGGGUCUGAUAGUAACAGGUUGACUAGCGGUGUCUUCAGAUGUUGGAAAUGUCGAGUUCAGCCAAAAAUGAACUCACCUGUUGUUUUUAACCUGUAUGUUUAUUUAUUUAUUUUUUUAUUUAUUUUUUUUGGUAGAACACAAAAUAAGACAUUUCUGUGCAGUUUUUUCAUACAAUGGACUGUGCAAUCAAAUCUUGUUCAAAGUGGUGCGUCGCAUUCACUUAUGACAAUCGAGAACCAAUGACGUCAAAUACAUGCAAUGCUUCAAUAAUAAUAUAAUGUAUAUGUUGCUAUAUGUUGUAAUUUUACAUAAAUUUUAGAAGUUUAAAAUUGUCGCACUUAUUAUUAUUAUUAUUAUUAUUAUUACAGAUGUAAUCUAAAAUGAUAAUGAAAACAACAUAUGCAUUAUAUUUCAGAAUAAUAUGCGGCCUUUGUAAUUUUUAUAUUAAUUUUAAGUUUUACAUUUUUGUGUUUCUUUUGUUGUUGCUGCCAUUUCACAAAAUUGUAACUAUUAUUAUAAACAACAUGCAUAAUAUUUUUUAUAAAAUGUAAUGCAUAUUAAGUAUUUUUGACCAUUUAUUUAAAUAUUUAAAAUGUUUCUUGCACAAAUUAUUAUAAAAUAUAAUGCAUAUUAUGUUGUGUUUGUUGUAUUUUUAGAUUUAUAUUUCAGUAUUCCUCACUCUUCAGACUUCUUUUCUGGUACUUUUUCUGGACUCCGUGGGUCGAGUUUGAAACGAUGUGAUGUAACACAAGUAAAUGAUUUUACAUAAACUAUUCCAUUAACUUGAUCCCCCAAACCUGCUCGUAGCACCUGGAUCAUAUAUUCGGCUCUUCAUAUCUGCUCUCUGCUAUUAUGUUCAAGUCCCAGAAUAUGACUGAAAAUGCAGCGAUUGAGCAGGUGUCUUCUGAAACCACUGCUUCUUCUGAAUGUUCUGGUUAAGUGGCUUUUCCAGGCAUGACAGUGGUGGUUUUCCCAUCCUCUCGGGCGUAAUGUAUAAUUCCCAACCUAACGCUUUUUAAUAUUGCAUUUCUGAUAUUAAACACUUCGUCAGCUCGCUGCCUGGAGGAGAGACACUACUAUGACAGAUGAUAAAAUUUCCCGCUCGUUAAAAAUGCAUGAGACAGUGUCUAGAAACACGAGGUGACGUGGGGACAUGUCCCUCUUGCUCCGGCCCGCGUCGUCCAUCAUCGCAGUCCAGUGUUCAGAUUACACCGCGUGUGUCCAGCUCUGGGAUUUGAGUUCUUCAGGUCUGGAUGAGGUCAGCACAAGCAGGACGAGAGUUAUUGUUGGAUUGCUUCAUUGUUUAGAUGACUAAUAAAAGAGUCGCUAAUCAGGUGUGAGCA
This is a long non-coding RNA of Cyprinus carpio (common carp), 2156 nucleotides long. Lineage: Eukaryota; Metazoa; Chordata; Actinopteri; Cypriniformes; Cyprinidae. The record is from Ensembl.